AUCCAGCUUGCUGGAUGCUGACGAGCGGCGGACGGGUGAGUAAUGCAUAGGAAUCUGCCCGGUAGUGGGGGAUAACCUGGGGAAACCCAGGCUAAUACCGCAUACGUCCUACGGGAGAAAGGGGGCUUCGGCUCCCGCUAUCGGAUGAGCCUAUGUCGGAUUAGCUAGUUGGUGAGGUAACGGCUCACCAAGGCCACGAUCCGUAGCUGGUCUGAGAGGAUGAUCAGCCACAUCGGGACUGAGACACGGCCCGAACUCCUACGGGAGGCAGCAGUGGGGAAUAUUGGACAAUGGGGGGAACCCUGAUCCAGCCAUGCCGCGUGUGUGAAGAAGGCCCUCGGGUUGUAAAGCACUUUCAGCGAGGAAGAACGCCUAGCGGUUAAUACCCGCUAGGAAAGACAUCACUCGCAGAAGAAGCACCGGCUAACUCCGUGCCAGCAGCCGCGGUAAUACGGAGGGUGCAAGCGUUAAUCGGAAUUACUGGGCGUAAAGCGCGCGUAGGUGGCUUGAUAAGCCGGUUGUGAAAGCCCCGGGCUCAACCUGGGAACGGCAUCCGGAACUGUCAAGCUAGAGUGCAGGAGAGGAAGGUAGAAUUCCCGGUGUAGCGGUGAAAUGCGUAGAGAUCGGGAGGAAUACCAGUGGCGAAAGCGGCCUUCUGGACUGACACUGACACUGAGGUGCGAAAGCGUGGGUAGCAAACAGGAUUAGAUACCCUGGUAGUCCACGCCGUAAACGAUGUCGACCAGCCGUUGGGGUGCCUAGC
RNAcentral lists this ribosomal RNA (763 nucleotides) under Vreelandella aquamarina. RNAcentral's name for it is "bacterial SSU rRNA". It matches the Rfam family "Bacterial small subunit ribosomal RNA", at positions 73 to 836 of the family's 1533-position model. The record is from RNAcentral. Lineage: Bacteria; Pseudomonadati; Pseudomonadota; Gammaproteobacteria; Oceanospirillales; Halomonadaceae.